Chelonia mydas (Green sea turtle) is the source of this 1113-nucleotide long non-coding RNA. RefSeq lists it as uncharacterized. Lineage: Eukaryota; Metazoa; Chordata; Testudines; Cheloniidae. The transcript has 3 exons. The record is from RefSeq and is a predicted model, not a curated record.
UUCUGUACCUCAGUGUAGUGGUGCAGGUGGCCCACGCCAGCAGGGGGUGGGGCAGAAGCAGCCAGGGAGGCUGUGGAAACCUGCAGCUAAUUAGGACAAGGCUCGUUAGGAGCCAGACAGGAGGCAGCUCCUGGGGCAGCCCAGAUAUAAGGAGAGGGAAUCUGUCCCUGACUAGUGAGGGAGGAUGAGGACGGGCACGGGCACGGGCACGGGCACGGGCUCCUGAGAUCCCCGCUCCCUCCAAACAAGUCUAGUUAAUGCUGUUUGAAAGUGGCGUGGUGAUAUCAUCCUGUCCUGAACAGAAUCUCCUCUAACCUGUGCUGGCUUAUAAGGGUGCUCUGGCCCUUCCCCGGAACACUCUCAACACACCCCUACAGCAAGGAGCAAGCAGGGGCUUGUGUAGAGUCAGCAACGUCAGCUGAGAAUUCACCCAUGCCAGGGCAAUCGUCAGUUGCCCAUUAAGGGCAGUUUUAAGGUCCAUUUGCACUUUUCCAAUGGGCUUUUGAUCUGAGAGGAUGCUGCACAUUCAACUCUUCAGGCGGAAGAGACAGGCCUUGAGCUGUAAUUAUAAAGACUUCAGUUCUCCCUGGUGACAUCAGCUGGUUAACAAAAUUUGGAUCACAGGAAUGAAGCAACCCAUAGUCUGUUUGCCGCAGCAUUGUUCACACUCCAGAGAAGAUAAUUGUAUAUGAAAUACCAUUCAGUAAUAUGCUCUAUUAAUUUUAGUGGUAGUUUUUUCUCUGUAAGCUUUUCAUCAGGAUUCAAAUCAUCAUCUGUGUUCCAUAGUCAAAGGGUACAAAGCAUAAUAAAACAGCAACAGAAUAAGUCUUUCUGUAAAAUUAUAUUUUGAAGCAUAUGCUAAGACCAUGUACUAAAUGAAACAUGCCAUAAUAAUUACAUUUACUAAAACUUCCUAAGGUGUAAUAAGCUUCUAACACAGCUGGUCUUGAAAUCAACCACAGAUUUCAGCAGCUAAACUUAAGGGCUGUAUACUGCGGCUCUUACUCAGGCAAAACUUCCCUUGCUAUCUAGAGGUAGCUGACCUGAAUAAAGACUCCAGGUUUGAGCCUUCUGUUUCUAGAAAGCAUGAAUGACUGAAAUUUUAAUGCAAUG